GAAGUGGCUGAAAGCAGAGGAUGUUGGGGUAGGAAGUACCUGGGGGUAGGGGAUGUGGGACAGGGAGUGUAUAAAAGUGCGUGACGCUGGGACAGAGAGUGUCUGAGGAAGGAGUGUCACACCAGGAUGGUACAGAACUCUAUGCCUACUGCUCAACGCUUCUAUAAAUUUAAACUGCAUUUCAAACGAAAUGUACUAACUGAAAAUACUUCAGUAGCAAAGGUUUUGCUUUUACCUCCUCUGCUUCCAUUGCCUUCCCUGAGGCCAGCUAACUCCUGAGGUGGUGAUAGCAAGAGACGUCUGUUACAGCAACAAACUGGAAGAGAUACAGAAAAAAAGUCACAGUGAGAGCACGGCUAUCUCUCAGUCACCUCAUACUAGGUCAGAUGCUCUUCCAUCAAGAGUCCUGUGUGAUUCUGCUGAACUCACAGGUCAGUGCCUGGCUCAGCCAUCACCAGAGAAGCUUCCUCCUACAACAGAUGGGAACAAAAACCACAGCAGGACAUUGCACAGGAAGGAGAGACUAGAGUCUACAUGGAAUUACAACAAAUAGGAGUCAAGAAGCCACCUGUGUACCCUCAGGUCCACUGUGAAGUGUUUGGGGUUUACAAUUCUCCAUGUGAACCAAAGGGAGAGAGAGACAAUGAUGUACCAGUACCCGGCUCCUGUGCGGGUUAGUGGGCCAGGUCAGCUCUUUGCCAACAACCUCUUCACUAUGAGUGGACUACUGUCCACUAAGAAGUCACCAACAUUUGAAUCUUACUUGGUGUUUCAGAUGCUAAUGAACAUUCAAACACGAUCACCAAAGAACUUUCCACCCCAAUUGUAACAACUUUGGUUCACAUAGACAGGCUCUGCUUCAUUGUUCUGAAGUUUGCUCCUUCUGAAAAA
This 891-nucleotide small RNA is filed under the name Rattus norvegicus (Norway rat). RNAcentral describes it as "uncharacterized LOC103690449". Lineage: Eukaryota; Metazoa; Chordata; Mammalia; Rodentia; Muridae. The record is from RNAcentral.